Molecule: small RNA, 17 nt
Filed under: Arabidopsis thaliana (thale cress)
Lineage: Eukaryota; Viridiplantae; Streptophyta; Magnoliopsida; Brassicales; Brassicaceae
Description: ATSL125250
Source: RNAcentral
AAAAAGGCAAAAAAAAA